Molecule: transfer RNA, 76 nt
Filed under: Maribacter algarum (ex Zhang et al. 2020)
Lineage: Bacteria; Pseudomonadati; Bacteroidota; Flavobacteriia; Flavobacteriales; Flavobacteriaceae
Description: Maribacter sp. RZ26 tRNA-Asp
Rfam family: tRNA
About the family: Transfer RNA (tRNA) molecules are approximately 80 nucleotides in length. Their secondary structure includes four short double-helical elements and three loops (D, anti-codon, and T loops). Further hydrogen bonds mediate the characteristic L-shaped molecular structure. tRNAs have two regions of fundamental functional importance: the anti-codon, which is responsible for specific mRNA codon recognition, and the 3' end, to which the tRNAs corresponding amino acid is attached (by aminoacyl-tRNA synthetases). tRNAs cope with the degeneracy of the genetic code in two manners: having more than one tRNA (with a specific anti-codon) for a particular amino acid; and 'wobble' base-pairing, i.e. permitting non-standard base-pairing at the 3rd anti-codon position.
Source: RNAcentral
AGUACCGUAGUUCAAAGGCUAGAGCGCCCGACUGUCUAUCGGGAAGGUACGGGUUCGAGUCCCGUCGGUACUGCGA